This is a non-coding RNA of Acidithiobacillus sp. GGI-221, 132 nucleotides long. The record is from Rfam. NCBI's taxonomy places the organism in Bacteria, Pseudomonadati, Pseudomonadota, Acidithiobacillia, Acidithiobacillales, Acidithiobacillaceae.
CGGGUCGAGGGGCGCUGCAGUCGUCAUGCCUCCUGCGCUGAUCCGGCCGGAUGAUUUCCCGGCCGGGAAGGCGGCGGGGUGACGAUCAGGCUCGGCCUAUGCUUCCCAUCUGUGAAACCGCGCUCGCUUUCA